This 483-nucleotide ribosomal RNA is filed under the name uncultured bacterium. Its description in RNAcentral is "partial 16S ribosomal RNA". It matches the Rfam family "Bacterial small subunit ribosomal RNA", at positions 29 to 506 of the family's 1533-position model. The record is from RNAcentral.
AUUGAACGCUGGCGGCAUGCUUUACACAUGCAAGUCGAACGGCAGCGCGGGCUUCGGCCUGGCGGCGAGUGGCGAACGGGUGAGUAAUGCAUCGGAACGUGCCCAGUAGUGGGGGAUAGCCUGGCGAAAGCCGGAUUAAUACCGCAUACGACCUGAGGGUGAAAGCGGGGGACCGAAAGGCCUCGCGCUAUUGGACCGGCCGAUGUCGGAUUAGCUCGUUGGUGGGGUAAAGGCUUACCAAGGCGACGAUCCGUAGCUGGUCUGAGAGGACGACCAGCCACACUGGAACGGAGACACGGCCCAGACUCCUACGGAGGACAGCAGGGGGAAAUUUUGGACAAGGGGGGCAACCCUGAUCCAGCCAUGCCGCGUGCGGGAAGAAGUCCUUCGGGUUGUAAACCGCUUUUGUUCGGGAAGAAAUCCUCUGGGCUAAUACCCCGGGGGGAGGACGGUACCGGAAGAAUAAGCACCGGCUAACUACGG